UACGUAGGGUGCAAGCGUUGCCCGGAUUUAUUGGGCGUAAAGGGCGCGUAGGCGGCUCGGCACGUCCGUUGUGAAAUCGCCCGGCUCAACUGGGCGGGGUCAGCGGAUACGGCCGAGCUUGAGCAAGCUAGGGGGCAAUGGAAUUCCCGGUGUAGUGGUGGAAUGCGUAGAUAUUGGGAAGAACACCGGUGGCGAAGGCGGCGACCUGGUCCGACACUGACGCUGAGGCGCGAAAGCGUGGGAAGCAAACAGG
Molecule: ribosomal RNA, 253 nt
Filed under: uncultured bacterium
Lineage: Bacteria
Description: partial 16S ribosomal RNA
Rfam family: Bacterial small subunit ribosomal RNA
Source: RNAcentral